This 497-nucleotide ribosomal RNA is filed under the name uncultured bacterium. RNAcentral's name for it is "partial 16S ribosomal RNA". It matches the Rfam family "Bacterial small subunit ribosomal RNA", at positions 28 to 507 of the family's 1533-position model. The record is from RNAcentral.
GAUGAACGCUGGCGGCGUGCCUAAUACAUGCAAGUCGAGCGAACAGACGAGGAGCUUGCUCCUCUGACGUUAGCGGCGGACGGGUGAGUAACACGUGGAUAACCUACCUAUAAGACUGGGAUAACUUCGGGAAACCGGAGCUAAUACCGGAUAACAUGUUGAACCGCAUGGUUCAACAGUGAAAGACGGUCUUGCUGUCACUUAUAGCUGGAUCCGCGCCGCAUUAGCUAGUUGGUAAGGUAACGGCUUACCAAGGCAACGAGGCGUAGCCGACCUGAGAGGGGGAUCGGCCACACUGGAACUGAGACACGGUCCAGACGACUAAGGGAGGCAGCAGUAGGGAAUCGGACGCAAUGGGCGAAAGCCUGACGGAGCAACGCCGCGUGAGAGAAGAAGGUCUUCGGAUCGUAAAACUCUGUUAUUAGGGAAGAACAAAUGUGUAAGGAACUAUGCACGGCGUGACGGUACCUAAUCAGAAAGCAACGGCUAACUACGUG